AUUUUUAGCUAGUUUUGGUUGGUUGAGCAGUUAAAAAAAUCAACAUUGGUUGGCUUUCAAUUGGCUAGUUAUUGUUUUUCCACUUAUUUUCUUUAUUCCACCCUCAAUUGUAUAUAAGACAGAACAAUUACUGUGAUUGAAUGAAAACUUGCAAUUGUCCACCAAGUGGAGGCAUUUCUAUCAUUGUUUUUUUCUCCUCAGCAAGCUAAUAUUGUUGCAAUGAUUUAUGGGUAGAUAUGUGGAAUUCUUAUCUCUACUUUUAGAUUUGAUUAUCAAGAUUCAAUUAUGUAAUUCUGGCUUAAAUUGGUUACUACCGCAGAUAAAGCAGUUGAUUGGCUUAAACACUUUAAUCCCAUUUUAUUUGAUUUCUAGAAUUCUAAAAUCAGUUUCCAGAAGGAUGGGAAGGAGAUAAUAUUGCAGGGAGUUAGUGAUAUGGGGUCUCAAUCCAAGCUACUGAAUUGUUUGAGUUAUCAGCAGCUAUUACAGAAGCAAGGGAAGGAUUUUCAAACUCCUUUAUUAUGCGUGCAAGUGUCGUAAUCACCUUCAACUAUAUUUUCAAUUACUGCAGUAGGUAAUGUUGUUUCAAGUACUCCUGAUACUAAUUCAGUUGAAUUGCAGAAUCUAUUAAAUAAGUAUCAGUGUAUUUUUGAAUGAUCCAAAGACCUUGCCACCAUUCAGAAGUCACAAUCAUUCUAUUCCCUUGGUACCAACAGCAGAACUUGUGAAUAUUAGGCCCUAUAGCUACCCGUGUUUUCAGAAAGCAGAAAUAGAGAAAUUGGCGGAUGAAAUGUUACAAAAUGAGGACAUACAACCCAACACCAGUCCUUAUUCUUCUCCAAGACUUCUUGUAUGAAAAAGGAUGGUUCUUGGAGGUUUUGCAUUGACUAUAGAAAGUUAAAGGACCUCACUAUCAAAGACAAGUUCCCAAUUCCAAUAAUUGAUGAUCCUUUAAAUGAGCUUCAUGGUGCUUUAAUCUUUUCUAAGAUUGAUUUAAAGGUAGGUUACCACCAAAUCAGGAUGAGUCCACCUGAUAUUCAUAAAACAACCUUUAGGACCCAUCAUGGGCAUUAUGAAUUUACU
RNAcentral lists this unclassified non-coding RNA (1080 nucleotides) under Hevea brasiliensis (rubber tree). The record is from RNAcentral. Lineage: Eukaryota; Viridiplantae; Streptophyta; Magnoliopsida; Malpighiales; Euphorbiaceae.